RNAcentral lists this ribosomal RNA (443 nucleotides) under uncultured bacterium. Its description in RNAcentral is "partial 16S ribosomal RNA". It matches the Rfam family "Bacterial small subunit ribosomal RNA", at positions 338 to 795 of the family's 1533-position model. The record is from RNAcentral.
CCUACGGGUGGCAGCAGUGGGGAAUAUUGGACAAUGGGGGGAACCCUGAUCCAGCGACGCCGCGUGAGUGAAGAAGUAUUUCGGUAUGUAAAGCUCUAUCAGCAGGGAAGAAAGAAAUGACGGUACCUGACUAAGAAGCCCCGGCUAACUACGUGCCAGCAGCCGCGGUAAUACGUAGGGGGCAAGCGUUAUCCGGAUUUACUGGGUGUAAAGGGAGCGUAGACGGCAGUGCAAGUCUGGAGUGAAAGGCGGGGGCUCAACCCCCGGACUGCUCUGGAAACUGUACGGCUGGAGUGCAGGAGAGGUAAGUGGAAUUCCUAGUGUAGCGGUGAAAUGCGUAGAUAUUAGGAGGAACACCAGUGGCGAAGGCGGCUUACUGGACUGUAACUGACGUUGAGGCUCGAAAGCGUGGGGAGCAAACAGGAUUAGAUACCCGAGUAGUC